UUAACCUUUAUGCUGCGAUAAAUAUGCUUUUCGUGUCGCAUUUAGCUUUCACUAUGUGUAAACAGAUUUCAUUUCAUGUUUCAAAUGAACUUGCGUGACUGUUCGAAUUCUCUUUGUUGAAUUUAACUACAAAUUAUAUUUGAAUAUAAGAUUAGUCAGCGUUGUUGUCUGUGAUUAUGCAAAUUCCAAAUUUGAUUUUGAAAGACUCUUUUCUUCAACAUGGCUGGUUGAAUAAACGAUCGCACGCUUCUUAACGUUUACUCGCCUUAAAAGGAUGCUUUCGUUGCAUGCUAGAUCGGAGUUUGAACGGUCGCAACCCAAAGGGACUGUAACGUGACAUUCCAAAGAAAGGUUGCGAAGAAGAAAAGCCCACGUUUUCUCUGUUGUAAAAGCAAACAGCCACAUUUCACCACGAUAUAUUCUCUAUCUACAGCUGAAAUAUCAGUUGCCGAAGUUAUAUUCUUGGACACAAAAAUUUUCGAAAGCGAGAGGUUUCACAGGGAAUCGACGGACCCAUUGCAAACGCUUUGCUAGACAGAGCGAAGACCUCGAAUUUUCGGUGUCUAGUGCUUUAGCACGUACACACGGCUAUGGAAGAGCGCAAAAAGUGCUUCAUAUACCGCAAAUUAUGACGUUAUACAGGUGUAGUUCGUUUCCUUUGUCGUCGUUGAUCAAGGUUUUAGUGGUGCGUGCCAUUGACGUUGCGGGAUCAAUAUAAUGAAGUGACACCCAGGGAAGUAGACCACACCGCACGCCAUGCGUUUGUUUGAAGUAGACCAAUUAGCCCUGCAGUUGAACCGCACUGAAGAUGUAGUUGGACAUUGUUACAACUGGAAAAUCGAAAAUCACACGAUCUAGAUUUUUAAUGGCAGAAUACAAGGUCAGCAUGGUAGCGAAAGAAAAAUCCUAGUGGCAAAACUGGCAGAGACACGGCCAUAAUAAUAAUAAUGAUCAUUAUUUUCUCCUACACAGUCUGUGAAUGAAAAUCGAAAAUCACUCGAUCUAAUUUUGGAACUCCAGAAGACAAGGUCAACAUGACGACUUCAACACGGAUGAAGUGUGUAAUUCUGCGAGCCCCACUCAAGUGGGGUUCAUGUAAGCGAAGCUAAAAUCAUAUUGGCUGAGCCGGCCGAGACACGUUUGACCCUUCCAUAACAAUGAUAAUGAUCAUUAUUAUCCCUAUGCAGUUUGUAAAUGAAAAUAAUCGAGUUCGUAUCAUUGUAAAGUUAUAAUUUUGGUCUCCGCGCUGUUUUAAGUUCAGUCCUAGUUCAUGCUAAGUAUACUUCUUCAUGCGUCAGGUCGUAAAAGAGUAUAGAAGCUUAUUACCUCGACUUUUCGUGUUCUCUAAUCAUCAAAUGCUGACAGCCUUAUGUUGUCUCGCCUCAGGGUACUGGAUAUGUAAACAGUCAUAAUGAGGAGAAGUGGUCCAUGCCACUUUCAAGUGUGGCUUAUUUUAUCACUCUCUUUUCGAAAUGUAAUGCAGUAAUGUGUUUUAACUUUUAUCUUUGUGAAGACUUGCAGAAGAUAUAUUUCAGUUUCAAUAAUUUUUCAAAUUUUACAGCUCUCUGUGAAUGAGAGGCUGUGAAAUGUCGAUGUUAAAAUGCAUUUUAAUUUGCUGUCUGCUAUGCCUGAGCAAAUGCUGUGCGCAGCAAAUUGUUUAGUAGUAGUAAAUAGACCUGUCCUGUCGGCGACUUGUCUUUCAAAUUUGUUUUUUGAAGAAGUUAUCGCUUACGUCUUUAAUUCGUCUCAUAAAAUUUCCGCAAGUCGUAAUUAAAAGCAAGAAAUGUAAUAGCGGACUUAUUUUAUUGAAGGCGAGGAGUGGAGACUCACAAUAUUUAAAUUUAUUUCCUCCUGCGACGCUUAAGCUAUCGAACCCUUGUAUGAGGCAAUAAAAUAUUUUAGAGCAUUUUAUUUCAUUUUAGCACCUUAAAUCCAUUGCUUGCGACUAGAUGUGGCUCGGUUAACCAAUAAUCAAUCGAUGAUUCAGGCGGUCGAGCAAAUUUCCAUUCAUACCGACAUACCAGAAGUUUAAAACCACAGACAAUAAAUUUCCGUCUUUCAACAUACUUUGUACUUUAAACGACGUGUCGAGAAGAGAUGGUUUUUACUCUUAGUAAACUAUUUUCAAGGUUGUUAAGCGAGAAAACAACCUCCUGGUUUUUUUAGUCAACUUUCAACCUCUAAUUCUGUGUAACGAUGAAUUCUCUCGAUAAAAUUAAUGAUCAAAGCAACAAGCAAUUUUGACAAGGAUUGCAGAAAAUAACAUGCCCAAACUUGCCCGGUACGAGUAAUAGUACGUGUCCACGGUAAAACUCAGCUAUAACAAAAAACUAUUAAAAGAAAUGAGUUUGUUUGAUCUUAGACGUUACAAAACGAGGCAAUG
Molecule: long non-coding RNA, 2383 nt
Filed under: Stylophora pistillata
Lineage: Eukaryota; Metazoa; Cnidaria; Anthozoa; Scleractinia; Pocilloporidae
Description: uncharacterized LOC111345465
Source: RNAcentral